Molecule: ribosomal RNA, 249 nt
Filed under: uncultured Lactobacillus sp.
Lineage: Bacteria; Bacillati; Bacillota; Bacilli; Lactobacillales; Lactobacillaceae
Description: partial 16S ribosomal RNA
Rfam family: Bacterial small subunit ribosomal RNA
Source: RNAcentral
CACGUGGGGAACCUGCCCCAUAGUCUGGGAUACCACUUGGAAACAGGUGCUAAUACCGGAUAAGAAAGCGGAUCGCAUGAUCAGCUUUUAAAAGGCGGCGUAAGCUGUCGCUAUGGGAUGGCCCCGCGGUGCAUUAGCUAGUUGGUAAGGUAAAGGCUUACCAAGGCGAUGAUGCAUAGCCGAGUUGAGAGACUGAUCGGCCACAUUGGGACUGAGACACGGCCCAAACUCCUACGGGAGGCAGCAGCG